AUUGAACGCUGGCGGCAUGCUUUACACAUGCAAGUCGAACGGCAGCGCGGGGCAACCUGGCGGCGAGUGGCGAACGGGUGCGUAAUAUAUCGGAACGUACCCAGAAGUGGGGGAUAACGUAGCGUAAGGUACGCUAAUACCGCCUACGACCUACGGAUGCCAACGGGGGACCGCAAGGCAUUAUGCGUUUGGGCCGGCCGAUAUCUGAUUAGCUAGUUGGUGAGGUAAAGGCUCACCAAGGCGACGAUCAGUAGCUGGUCUGAGAGGACGACCAGCCACACUGGAACUGAGACACGGUCCAGACUCCUACGGGAGGCAGCAGUGGGGAAUUUUGGACAAUGGGCGCAAGCCUGAUCCAGCAAUGCCGCGUGAGUGAAGAAGGCCUUCGGGUUGUAAAGCUCUUUUGUCAGGGAAGAAACGGUAGAGGCUAAUAUCCUUUGCUAAUGACGGUACCUGAAGAAUAAGCACCGGCUAACUACGUG
Molecule: ribosomal RNA, 482 nt
Filed under: uncultured bacterium
Lineage: Bacteria
Description: partial 16S ribosomal RNA
Rfam family: Bacterial small subunit ribosomal RNA
Source: RNAcentral